This 380-nucleotide unclassified non-coding RNA is filed under the name uncultured Chytridiomycota. Its description in RNAcentral is "sequence contains ITS1". The stretch from base 1 to 105 matches the Rfam family "5.8S ribosomal RNA", at positions 50 to 154 of the family's 154-position model. The record is from RNAcentral. Lineage: Eukaryota; Fungi; Chytridiomycota.
GAAAUGCGAUAAGUAAUGUGAAUUGCAGAAUUCCGUGAAUCAUUAAAUCUUUGAACGCACAUUGCGCCCUCUGGUAUUCCUAAGGGCAUGCCUGUUUGAGAAUCAGUUUAAACCUUCAACCUUUUUUUCUUUUUUCGAAAAGUAACUAGGGUUGGAUUUGGGAUUCCUCCAUGCAUUUGGAGAAACCUUAAUAACAACUGUUGCUUUGUUUUUACUAUGGUAUUUACAAAACGGUAUGACCAUUGAACGAAAGUUCUUUAUUAUAUCCAUGGAGUUUAUAUCAUAUAAUGAUGGGGUACAAAAACUUAUUUCACGAAGAGACAAUUUUUGACUCUUUAAGACUUGAUCUCAAAUCAGACAAGACUACCCGCUGAACUUAA